GGCUCAGAACGAACGUUGGCGGCGUGGAUUAGGCAUGCAAGUCGAACGAAUCCCCGUGGGGGUAACUCUGCGGGGGGAAGUGGCGAAAGGGGCAGUAAUGCGUGGGUAACCUACCCCGGGGAUGGGCAUAGCCGUUCUAACGGACGGAUAAUUCCCAGCGAUUUGGCCGAGGGGCAUCCCUUGACCAGGAAAUGAAUUUCGCCUCGGGAGGGGCUGACGUGAUAUUAGCUAGUUGGUGAGGUAACGGCUCACCAAGGCGAAGAUGUCUAGCGGGUGUGAGAGCACGACCCGCGCCACUGGCACUGAGACACUGGCCAGACUCCUACGGGAGGCUGCAGUCGAGGAUCUUCGGCAAUGGGCGCAAGCCUGACCGAGCGACGCCGCGUGUGCGAUGAAGGCCUUCGGGUUGUAAAGCACUGUCGAGGGGGAGGAAGCCGAAAGGUUGACCUAUCCCUGGAGGAAGGACGGGCUAAGUUCGUGCCAGCAGCCGCGGUAAGACGAACCGUCCUAACGUUGUUCGGAAUCACUGGGCUUAAAGGGCGCGUAGGCGGCUGAUCAAGUCCGGGGUGAAGGCCUCCAGCCCAACUGGAGAAGUGCCUUGGAUACUGGUCAGCUUGAGGGAGGUAGGGGCAACUGGAACUUCCGGUGGAGCGGUGAAAUGCGUUGAUAUCGGAAGGAACGCCGGUGGCGAAAGCGAGUUGCUGGAUCUCUUCUGACGCUGAGGCGCGAAAGCCAGGGGAGCAAACGGGAUUAGAUACCCCGGUAGUCCUGGCCCUAAACGAUGGGUACUAGAUUGUGGGCUUAGCAUGGGUUCACAGUCGAAGCAAAAGUGUUAAGUACCCCGCCUGGGGAGUAUGGUCGCAAGGC
RNAcentral lists this ribosomal RNA (867 nucleotides) under uncultured bacterium. Its description in RNAcentral is "bacterial SSU rRNA". It matches the Rfam family "Bacterial small subunit ribosomal RNA", at positions 21 to 894 of the family's 1533-position model. The record is from RNAcentral.